UAGGGAAGUCUUCCACAAUGGGCGGAAAGCCUGAUGGAGCAACGCCGCGUGUGUGAUGAAGGGUUUCGGCUCGUAAACACUGUUGUAAGAGAAGAAUGACAUUGAGAGUAACUGUUCAAUGUGUGACGGUAUCUUACCAGAAAGGAACGGCUAAAUAUGUGCCAG
Molecule: ribosomal RNA, 165 nt
Filed under: uncultured bacterium
Lineage: Bacteria
Description: partial 16S rRNA
Rfam family: Bacterial small subunit ribosomal RNA
Source: RNAcentral